RNAcentral lists this transfer RNA (82 nucleotides) under Ixodes scapularis (black-legged tick). RNAcentral's name for it is "tRNA-Phe". It matches the Rfam family "tRNA". Rfam says of the family: Transfer RNA (tRNA) molecules are approximately 80 nucleotides in length. Lineage: Eukaryota; Metazoa; Arthropoda; Arachnida; Ixodida; Ixodidae. The record is from Rfam by way of RNAcentral.
GCAGUCGUGGCUGAGUGGUUAAGGCGAUGGACUAAAAAUCCAUUGGGGUCUCCCCGCACAGGUUCGAAUCCUGUCGACUGCG